This 835-nucleotide long non-coding RNA is filed under the name Cicer arietinum (chickpea). RNAcentral describes it as "long non-coding RNA (CARI_LNC003015)". Lineage: Eukaryota; Viridiplantae; Streptophyta; Magnoliopsida; Fabales; Fabaceae. The record is from RNAcentral.
CAGUAUAUUUGUAUUCUCCUUUGUGUGUGAUGUAAUGAAAUCUUAGCAGAAAAUGAUGGAAAGUUAAGAGAAGGAACAUUCAUAACAUCUAUGUUUCAAUGAAAUCUUUUGUAAGGAAAUCUAUAAGGAGUUGUAAGAAAACACAAAAGUACCUUUCAAACUCCCACAUGCAAAAUCAAUAUACUUUCUAUUUUAAACUCUAUAUGACAUUGUCUUAGCUCUUUCAACUGCACAACAAUAUCACCAGUUAGAGUAGCUUGCUGCAAAAUAUUAAUACAACAAAACAAUCUAUAAACCCUACAUUUUCAAACAGAAAAUAAAAUGUCAACGUACAGUUAUUUAGAAGAUAACUUUCUUGUUUGGCAUCAGUAUGCAUUUUCUGAGAUACUGUGAUAUAUGCAUACCAUACAAACACACAAUAUCAUAUACACAUAACCAUUGAUACUACAACAGAAAGCCUCACACAAAAUAAAAGUUAUAGUUAAAAAUUAAUAGUUAAGUAUUUAGAAAAACUUGAAACUAAAAGAGGCAGAAGCUAUUGAAAGUAAACACUUUGACCAAAAACUUGCAUAAUACAAUCAACAAUAUACUCAUAGAACUCUAACCUUACAUUAUAUGCUUCUUGCUCUGAGCCAACAAACAAAAAAGAUGCUCCUGAUCAUAGAAAGCUUAACAAGAUGAAAAUGCUAGUUAUAAAAAAUAAACCCUAAUUGUAAAAAAUAAUAAGGAAAUCAUAACAGAAAAUCAUAAAACUUUCUACGAGUACCUUUCUAUGUGCAGUUGUGAGCUUUCUCCAACACUCUUUUGCCCCUUUUCCAUUUGUGGUUGAAGAUGU